UUUACAGGCCUGGAGACUGACAUUCCUUGCUUAUGCUCAGAAAAGGCAGAGCAUAGACAGUACUGCAAAUAUCUUUCCCUGUAGUACUUUAUCACUUCUGUUCUGGAGAAACUAUUUCCAGGCAGAAUGAUAAAUGCUGUGGUCUCUGUAGUCGCUCAUUGGCUGCC
This 167-nucleotide small RNA is filed under the name Coturnix japonica (Japanese quail). RNAcentral's name for it is "TUC338 (ENSCJPG00005010811.1)". Lineage: Eukaryota; Metazoa; Chordata; Aves; Galliformes; Phasianidae. The record is from RNAcentral.